This 1243-nucleotide long non-coding RNA is filed under the name Homo sapiens (human). RNAcentral describes it as "HSALNT0238005". Lineage: Eukaryota; Metazoa; Chordata; Mammalia; Primates; Hominidae. The record is from RNAcentral.
CCCAACCUGUGCUGUGGGCAAGGUACUGUUCACAGGCUGGGGACACAGUACUUGUCCUCAUUGAGAAGGUCCCCAAGGCCCAGCUACAUAAUUUCCAGGGCCUGGUGCAGAAUGACACUGUAGGGCCUCUUGUUCAAAAAUGUAAAAGAUUUUGAAGGUAGGGAUAGCAGGGGCCCUUCUCCCUGCACAGGUCCCAGCCCACGAAGCUGUGGGUGGGCACAUUCUAGAACAGCACUAAUGCCCUGUACAUGGGGAGUGGGUCAUUAGGCCUGAGCCACCCAUGGGCCCUGGGUGAACUCAGGUGCAAGAAGUGACUUUGGAAAACAUCCGUCCAUUUCCCACUUUAGCACUGGAAACACCAGUGCGGAGAGAGGGGCUCUCAGCCUGCUCAGGGCUCAGGCAGGGCAGCGACCAGCACCCGCAACCUGCAUCGGAGCCUGAGCGUUGCACUGCACCCCCUCCUCACCCUCCCUGCUUUGGAGAGGGUGCAGGCUGUGCAGGAGUGGAGGUCUGAAUGAACUCAGGUGUGGACGUGUGUUGGGAAGACACUGCAAGGCCUGGCCCUGCCAGCAAGGAUGGGAGCAUCGCCGUCCUCUGUUGAUCUGCCUGGAAGACCAAACUCACCACCCAAAGCGGAACUCCCCUGGGGACGUUUUGUUCCCAGCAUUCCAUGGCAGCUGCAGAAACGGAACACAGCUUGCUCCUCCAGGGACCCGGCCAAGUGCCUUGGGUGGACAGGCCCAGGGAUGCGGCAGGACAGCCAGGCCUGGGGGUCUGUGCAGGGAGGGGCAGCAGCUGAGCCCAAGAUGGUGCCAUUCAGGGCCCAAUAACAGGUAAAGUAUUAUUAGUGAGGGUGCCAGGAAUGAGAGCACUCAUUGUGGGUGGCGUCGCCAAGUCAGAAAAGGAUAAACCAGAUGAAUUCUCAGGUGCUCACUUGGUGUGGGAGGCCUGGGUUGAACUCACACACAUAGGUGGAUACAAAAACACAUGUGUGGGUAGGUGGCUCUGCUCGCUGAGAGGGCCACAAGCAGCGUCCCCCCAGCAGCCAUGAGCACAGUGCCCGCCCAGAUCUUGGCCUGUCAUGCUGUCCUCCAUCAGGCUCCUUGGAGGAAGCGUCUGGAAUCCUGUGUUGCACCAUGAAAUCAGGUGGCCUCAAAGAAGGGUUGGGACGUGUCACAGAUAUCCAGAAGCCACCCUGAAUUGGCAAAAUUGGGAUGCUGUGAGCAUCAACAUAAACAAUCGU